ACCGUUUGUGAAAUGUUAAACAAAAUGCUUCAUCAAAACUGUCAUAGAAUCUCAUUAGUGUUGGUUUGCCAAGUAAAAUUACAAAUUUGCAAGUUGAAUUUGUUUUCUCAAUACAAGUUAGACGACAAAUAUAGUUCAUUACUUUGUUUUCUUCAUAUUCUUGUGAGAUUCUGCAAUAAUGUAUCCAAAUCGUCAUUUCUGACAAAAAAAAUCCAAAUCUUCACGAACUCAAAAAACUUAAUAAUCUCAUUGAUGUUAGACUAAUAUCAAACGAAUAAUUUAGACCUCUCGUCAAUGGUAAACCAUAGCUAAGUUGAGAGUUGCACUGAUAUGGCGGCCCUCAAAUCAGAUUGAUCUUCUCCGUAGAACUAAUUACUUCUCAAUGAGUUUAGGAGCUUUGGUAAUAAUUUUUCUUAUAGAUAUUGGAUUGAUGGGAUCAGCCCACCAGCAAGAUUUCUAUAGUUUGUUUAGAAGCAUUGAUAAUGAACUUUUCUACAUUCAAAAGUUGCUGUAGUUUCCCGAAUGCUAGGAAGCAGCAAUGGUCGGCCAACUUGGACAUUUAAAUUCUUAGAUGUUUAUGUUGAAUCGUUUUUUUUUUUUUGGUGUAGUCAUGCAGUUGGUAAAUUUAGCCUGACAGUAUAUUCAAAGCACUCUGUUUCAAAAUGCAAGAUUUUUGAUGUUUACAAUUUCAGAAGUAUCUUGACCUUUUGUAAUUUGUACGUUAAUAAGAUUCAUUUUCCAUCGUUCGCUUCCUCAUAUUUAGUGUGAGACAUACGACAAACCAACUGAACAGUUUGGCUGGAAAAUUUAGCAUCUAUAUAUAUAUAAAAGUGUUUGUUUCUCUCACGUUCGUCCACGUAGGAAAGUCAAGCGCUCUCCUGCCGCCACGCGUCCCCCCCCCCUCAAAGCGCAUCGUUUCAUUAAAGAAGAUUCGUUAGUGGGCUUCGUCGCGCGUUAUCUGCUUAGCCGUGAAGAAUAAAGAUUUGACGGGCCCCUUAGAACAGAUGCUCUAUUUGCGUGAGAUUAGUGAUAUGGGCUUCAUUCCCGACGGUUUGCUCGGCCCGGAAUCGCACAUGUGAAACCCUAAUUUCAUCCCGCGAGUCAUCUGUGUUCUUCCGUCUUAUUCGUUUGACGGCGACGAUGACUCUCCACCUUCUCCACGGAUCUGAAACGGAAUACGUUAUCGUCUUUGUGUGUUUAUUCUCAUCAAUUCAGACGCCCACUAUGAGAUCUUCAAUGCGUCGAUCUCGACUCUCAAACGGUGGGAAAUCUGUAUAAAUAUGUGAGUCUUUCUCAUUUGUAAGUCAUCCUCCUCUGAUAUACUGAAUCGUGUUGUUAUGGCAAUUUGGAGAGUUCUUCUCCGACUUGAAGUCCGGCAGGUGCUCCGGCGUCAUUGAGGCUCGGCUGUUGCAGUUCUGGGAGGCGAGAAAUGUGAAGCGCGGUGGCGAGCUCAUGUGGGUUGACAUGCUUCUGGUUGACCUUAAUAGAUGAAGAUUAGAGAGAGAUAACGUUUGCAGAACGUGACACCAUUAUAAUAUUGAAAGAUUACAACUUUUAAUAAAAAAAUUUAAAUCCAAACAAGAAAGGAGCUUCCUUUUCAUUUCCUCUGUUUUUUCCUCUUGACAUGUUCGUGAUUGGUCCGAAACUGACGAGAAAAAAUCAGACAAGAACCCACGAUGUUUGGUAUCCAAAGCAAAAGAGACUUAAGAACGGAGCUCCAAUCCCAAAUCCCCAUCCCGCCCCAGCAUCCACGCCCGACGAGCCAACACUGUCGUCAAAUUCCAGGACCUAUACAGUUUCACGGUGGAAGGAAACGUCGACGACGUCAACGUCUUGAACUAAGUCAGAGAGAAAGUGAGGAGCCAAGGGAGAGUCUGGUGGGCUCUCGAAGCCAGCAAAGGAACUGACUGGUAUCUCCAGCCGGAUAUUCUAUUGAUCGGAGACGGUGGUAUCGCAUUGAAGACGUCACUGAAGAUAUCUGCUUUGAGUAUGCGAUCACGUUGAAGAGGUUGAUUAGGAAAGGGAUACCUCCUGUGCUGAGGCCUAAGCUUUGGUUCUCUCUCUCUCCGGUGCGGAGAAGAAGAAGUCUACUGUUCCGGAGAGUUAUUACAGUGAUUUGACUAAGGCUGUUGAUGGGAUGGUCACGCCUGCUACGCGGCAGAUUGAUCAUGUGAGUUUGGUCUCCGUCUAAAGUCUGAUCCUUUGAAUACAAAUGUAGAUGCUCAUCAUUUUCUUUUAACGUAUUAUCUUAUUUGCAAUACGGUUGUUUCACUAGGUAGAGCCAGAAUCAAUAUGAGAUACUCAAACUUUAUGUAGACAGCAAUUAUUUUAUUUUAAAUUUUGGUAGAUUAUAAUACAAUUAAUUCCUCCAUCUUUUUGAGGAAACAACUA
Molecule: RNA transcript, 2391 nt
Organism: Brassica napus (rape)
Lineage: Eukaryota; Viridiplantae; Streptophyta; Magnoliopsida; Brassicales; Brassicaceae
Exons: 2
Source: RefSeq, a predicted model, not a curated record